Molecule: unclassified non-coding RNA, 21 nt
Filed under: Mus musculus (house mouse)
Lineage: Eukaryota; Metazoa; Chordata; Mammalia; Rodentia; Muridae
Description: oocyte_clustered_small_RNA10615
Source: RNAcentral
UUGUCCGCGGCAGGUGACUGU